CAGGCUCUGGGGGGUGAGCACAGCUCUAGUGAUUUGCUUCCGGUUCAAAUGGUUAAGCUUGAAGAAGGGGAGUUGACUUGGUUUGCUGAUAAAGCCGCGCUUUCGAAGCUGCAGGAUAAAGCGAGCCUGUGAUCACUAUAGGUUGAAUGGUCUCUGGUUAUGUCUCUGAGGACCAGUACCAUCGAUGGUUUGUAUUAUGUAGUUAUAGUUGUGGGCUAUUCUCAAG
Molecule: unclassified non-coding RNA, 226 nt
Filed under: Hevea brasiliensis (rubber tree)
Lineage: Eukaryota; Viridiplantae; Streptophyta; Magnoliopsida; Malpighiales; Euphorbiaceae
Source: RNAcentral